GACGAACGCUGGCGGCGUGCUUAACACAUGCAAGUCGAACGGAAAGGCCCUGAUUUUGUGGGGUGCUCGAGUGGCGAACGGGUGAGUAACACGUGAGUAACCUGCCCUUGACUUUGGGAUAACUUCAGGAAACUGGGGCUAAUACCGGAUAGGAGCUCCUGCUGCAUGGUGGGGGAUGGAAAGUUUCGGCGGUUGGGGAUGGACUCGCGGCUUAUCAGCUUGUUGGUGGGGUAGUGGCUGACCAAGGCUUUGACGGGUAGCCGGCCUGGGAGGGUGACCGGCCCCAUUGGGCCUGAGGUACGGCCCAGACUCCUACGGGAGGCAGCAGUGGGGAAUAUUGCACAAUGGGCGGAAGCCUGAUGCAGCAACGCCGCGUGCGGGAUGACGUCCUUCGGGUUGUAAACCGCUUUCGCCUGUGACGAAGCGUGAGUGACGGUAAUGGGUAAAGAAGCACCGGCUAACUACGUG
Molecule: ribosomal RNA, 468 nt
Filed under: uncultured bacterium
Lineage: Bacteria
Description: partial 16S ribosomal RNA
Rfam family: Bacterial small subunit ribosomal RNA
Source: RNAcentral